RNAcentral lists this ribosomal RNA (454 nucleotides) under uncultured bacterium. RNAcentral's name for it is "bacterial SSU rRNA". It matches the Rfam family "Bacterial small subunit ribosomal RNA", at positions 29 to 521 of the family's 1533-position model. The record is from RNAcentral.
AACGAACGCUGGCGGCAUGCCUAACACAUGCAAGUCGAACGGGAUCCUAGCUUGCUAGGUGAGAGUGGCGGACGGGUGAGUAACACGUGGGAAUCUGCCUUUUGGUUCGGGAUAACCGCGGGAAACUGCGGCUAAUACCGAAUGCCCUCGAGAGAGGAAAGAUUUAUCGCCAGAAGAGGAGCCCGCGUCCGAUUAGGUAGUUGGUGGGGUAAAGGCCUACCAAGCCGACGAUCGGUAACUGGUCUGAGAGGAUGAUCAGCCACACUGGGACUGAGAUACGGCCCAGACUCCUACGGGAGGCAGCAGUGGGGAAUAUUGGACAAUGGGGGCAACCCUGAUCCAGCAAUGCCGCGUGAGUGAUGAAGGCCUUAGGUUGUAAAGCUCUUUUGCCAGGGAAGAUGAUGACUGUACCUGGAGAAUAAGCCCCGGCUAACUUCGUGCCAGCAGCCGCGGU